CACCAGAAAGUGAUGCUGUGUCUUCUGAGGGCCCCAGUUCCAGCGCCAUCCCUCGGCCAAAGGUAUUGCUUUGAGUCUUCUACUUGACCUCUGGGAACUUGUUCUCCCUGUCUGGAAGAUGAGCUGGUAAGAACUUCUUACCCACUGGGUUUUAUGAAAAGGAAGGAAAAUUGUGAACAUGAAUGCACUGACCACAGUGCCUGGUGCCUUCAUACAACCUGAAAAGGCCCCCAAAGGAUUUAUACCUGGGAUCCCCAAGAGUUGGAUUGCAAUGGGGGACAUAUAAAGGAGGCUAAGCAUUCUCAGGAUGGCUGUCAUCAAAAAGACUAAAGACAACAAGUGCCGGUGAGGGUGUGAAGGAAGAGAAGCUCCGUGCACGUUGCUGGUGAUGUAAGCAGCCGUGAUGGAAAACAGCAAGGAGGUUCCUCAAAACACUGCAAAUAGAACCAACAUAUGGCAACCCACCUCUGGGCGAGUAUCCAAAAGAAACGAAAUCAGUCGGCCCACCCACAUUCACUGCAGCACGUUUGGGACGCCCAAUGGAAACAACCCACGUGCCCAUCUCAUGAUGAGUGGGUAAAAACAAUGUAGUCUGUAUACAUGAUGGAAUACUACUCAGACUUUUAAAAAAAGGAGGGGGGGGUGGCAAGCUCACUGACCAGGUAAAGGUGUUUGACACCAAGCCUGAAGAUUUGUGCCAAUGAAGUGGAAGGAGAGAACUGACCCCACAAAAUUGUCAUCUGACUGCCACAUACUUCCUGUGACAUGCAUG
This 772-nucleotide long non-coding RNA is filed under the name Cricetulus griseus (Chinese hamster). Its description in RNAcentral is "lncRNA (ENSCGRG00015037950.1)". Lineage: Eukaryota; Metazoa; Chordata; Mammalia; Rodentia; Cricetidae. The record is from RNAcentral.